Molecule: ribosomal RNA, 822 nt
Filed under: Listeria monocytogenes
Lineage: Bacteria; Bacillati; Bacillota; Bacilli; Caryophanales; Listeriaceae
Description: partial 23S ribosomal RNA
Rfam family: Bacterial large subunit ribosomal RNA
Source: RNAcentral
CGUGAGGGAAAGGUGAAAAGCACCCCGGAAGGGGAGUGAAACAGUUCCUGAAACCGUGUGCCUACAAGUAGUUAGAGCCCGUUAAUGGGUGAUAGCGUGCCUUUUGUAGAAUGAACCGGCGAGUUACGAUUUGUUGCAAGGUUAAGCGGAAAAAGCGGAGCCGUAGCGAAAGCGAGUCUGAAUAGGGCGCAUAAGUAACAGGUCGUAGACCCGAAACCAGGUGAUCUACCCAUGUCCAGGAUGAAGGUAAGGUAAUACUUACUGGAGGUCCGAACCCACGCACGUUGAAAAGUGCGGGGAUGAGGUGUGGGUAGCGGAGAAAUUCCAAUCGAACUUGGAGAUAGCUGGUUCUCUCCGAAAUAGCUUUAGGGCUAGCCUCGAGGUAAAGAGUCAUGGAGGUAGAGCACUGUUUGGACUAGGGGCCCUUCUCGGGUUACCGAAUUCAGAUAAACUCCGAAUGCCAUGUACUUAUACUCGGGAGUCAGACUGCGAGUGAUAAGAUCCGUAGUCGAAAGGGAAACAGCCCAGACCACCAGUUAAGGUCCCCAAAUAUAUGUUAAGUGGAAAAGGAUGUGGGGUUGCUUAGACAACCAGGAUGUUGGCUUAGAAGCAGCCACCAUUGAAAGAGUGCGUAAUAGCUCACUGGUCGAGUGACCCCGCGCCGAAAAUGUACCGGGGCUAAACAUAUUACCGAAACUGUGGAUGAACCUCUUUAGAGGUUCGUGGUAGGAGAGCGUUCUAAGGGCGGUGAAGUCAGACCGGAAGGACUGGUGGAGCGCUUAGAAGUGAGAAUGCCGGUAUGAGUAGCGAAAGAAGGGUGAG